AUUGAACGCUGGCGGCAGGCUUAACACAUGCAAGUCGAGCGGGGUGAUGGUGCUUGCACUAUCACUUAGCGGCGGACGGGUGAGUAAUGCUUAGGAAUCUGCCUAUUAGUGGGGGACAACAUCUCGAAAGGGAUGCUAAUACCGCAUACGUCCUACGGGAGAAAGCAGGGGAUCACUUGUGACCUUGCGCUAAUAGAUGAGCCUAAGUCGGAUUAGCUAGUUGGUGGGGUAAAGGCCUACCAAGGCGACGAUCUGUAGCGGGUCUGCGAGGAUGAUCCGGCACACUGGGACUGAGACACUGACCAGAAUCCUACGGGAGGCAGCAGUGGGGAAUAUUGGACAAUGGGGGGAACCCUGAUCCAGCCAUGCCGCGCGUGUGAAGAAGGCCUUAUGGUUGUAAAGCACUUUAAGCGAGGAGGAGGCUCUUUUGGUUAAUACCCAAGAUGAGUGGACGUUACUCGCAGAAUAAGCACCGGCUAACUCUGUGCCAGCAGCCGCUGUAA
RNAcentral lists this ribosomal RNA (503 nucleotides) under uncultured bacterium. RNAcentral describes it as "partial 16S ribosomal RNA". It matches the Rfam family "Bacterial small subunit ribosomal RNA", at positions 30 to 523 of the family's 1533-position model. The record is from RNAcentral.